GUUUCUGUAGUUAAAAUUUCAUUAACAGUGGUUUUUCAGACCACAGAUCUUGGAGAAAAGCCAAGCAGAAAUU
RNAcentral lists this transfer RNA (73 nucleotides) under Ardenna carneipes (Flesh-footed shearwater). RNAcentral describes it as "tRNA-Glu". Lineage: Eukaryota; Metazoa; Chordata; Aves; Procellariiformes; Procellariidae. The record is from RNAcentral.